UCCCCACGCUCUCUGCCUGUAAAGAGCAUCUGCAAAGAAGUAUUUCCCCUCCCUCUCUGUGCCUUUCCUUUGGCUGACUUUCACCUCCUUGUGCUCUGGCUCUCUCCAGCAUUUUUGACACCUGCGGUUGCAAACAGCAAAGGAGGGUCUGAGCCCCACAGAGGUGAGGGGCAAUGGAGAAGAGUAGGAAAGAUUCUGAGUAAUGCUCCUCGUAUGCAUUUUCAUUGACAGCAGCAAUUUACCACAGAAUGGCAUUAAUUAAUAUGAUGGCCUGUUGAGCAGCCUGUAUAACGGAUGAGACAACAGGCAUUGGUGGUUGCUGCCCUCAGAUGGUUUCAUGUUUGUCCAGGCAAAAGCAAUGAUGGCUGUAAUUUAAAAAAAUGUUGUCUCCUCGUCUUAAUCUCAAAAGUGGGUGACCAAACGGAGAAAAAUUAUUUAUUAGUGCAUGGCUUUCAAAACAAUAGCUGAGGCACUGCUGUCUGUCAGUCAGGUGCUGGUACAGAAAGCUGAAUACCCCACAGAUAAAGCGAUUCGGGAAGCAGCAAAGAUGAAGAAGUUGUGACAAAGCAGAGAAACCAUUUUCCCUGAACAUGAGAGUUUCUGCACAUCCCAAGGAAGGAGCCAGAGUGGUGCCUGCUCAGCUGAUGAAAGGCAGACAGGGACAGAGGAGAAAGGGCAGAAACAGCACAGACAAAUUAAAUUCCCUGAGUCUGUCUGGGCUGCGUGCAUCUCUGACAGCAAACCAUAAAAUAUAAAGAAUAAGGAUCCUUAUCCUGGCUAGAGUCCAAGCCGACAGCAUUGCAGUAACAGCAUGAACCCAUUUCUGCUUUAGUAAAAUAUUAGCUACACUUUGAAGUGAAAACAGGACAAUAGAUCAUCAAGGUCAGACAGUGGUUGUUCACAUUACCCUACAGACACCGAGUUUUCAUCAAGAAUGAAAGCCCAAUAGCCAAAUUAUUCCUGCAUCAUGGACCUCCCUGGAAUAUGAGCUGAGACGAUUUUGGCUCAGGACAAGCAGGAGGGCAACAGGUUGGCUGGUAUUUAUUUCUGUGUUGCCCCUCCCAGCCCCACAGUUGGGUUUGCAGGGCUGUUCUCCCUCCAGCACUGCAAUCGCUAUCACAGGAGCUCAGAUACCCGGCUCUAGCUCAUCUGCCCCAGACACUGGGCUGCAUUCCCUCUGUAGCAUGUUAGGAAGGGGCUCGGGUGCUGCAAGAAGCAGAGGGGCCAGGACAGGUCUGCUCCUGCCUGCACUUGCUGGAAGUGAGUGGAUGAUUCUGGUGCAAUAGGAAAGGCGUGCACUCGGAAAGUGUCCCCAGGGGCUGAGCAGUAAUAAAGCUGCAGGAGAAUGCUAAGGUUUCGAAACUUCCAAGAGGAGAAAACCCCACUUUCUCUCCCUUCGCCAAGCAGCUUCCUCCUCCACCUGCCUGCAGGCAUCCUUUCCUCAGCACUGCUCCUCCUGCACGAUGCUGCCCCUGCACGGGAGUGAGAUGCUGAGCUCCCGCAGAGUAGUGAAGGAGGCAAAGAGAGUGUGGGUGCAGCAUCUUCCCCACCAGCUCUGACCAUGACUGUGUGCUCUGCUUCCAGCUGCUGCCCCCUUGCUCCUGCACCUCAGUGCAUGAGGGGCCCAUCCUUCACUUACUGCAUGCCUUUGCAAGGGGUGCGAAGUGCACAUGACCCUCUGUGUAGGCUACAAAGUCAAUGAAAUUGGAUAAAUAAUGGUAAUUGUCACAGCACAGGCUGAGGAUGUGCAACAGAACCCAGCUCCUGCCCCAGGCUGUAGUCCAAAGCCCACCCUGAUCAAUGGAGAGGUCCUCACGGACAUCACCAAGCAGCCCCAGCUCCUUCACCAGUUAGUGACACCGCUGAUUUCCUUCGGUUAGUGAGGAGCUGUGUGUCACCACUUCAUUCAUAAGAUUUUCUCAUUAAUAGAAGGUUGUGGAACAUGGAAGAUAUCUGUCAUCCUUCAAUGGCUGACUUCGAGGUGCUGAUGUUGAAAGAUCAGCUUCCAUGAGCACUGACAGCAGGGAGAGCCAUGUGUUCACCCAUUCACACCCCGGCACCAAGGCAAAUGUCACACUGCAAAAACCUAGUAACGGGAAAGGAAAUUAAGGGAAGAAAGGCCCUGAACAGCAUAAGCAAAUAUUUGAGCAAGGUUAGUGAGCAAUUAAGGAGCUCUUUGCAAGUGAAUCACCAAAUCCUGCUCAGCAAGAAGAACGUGCACAUGCACUGCAGGGAAAUGCUGACGAGUGUUUGGGUCUCAGGUCGCAGUCAAGUCUCAAGACUGGAUGGUCUGGGGAACAGACGAGGGCUCUCCUCCUCCUCCUCCUCCUUUGCAUUGCUUCCUUUUUCUGGCACUGGAUGUGGCAGACACUGGCCUCAUGCAGGGAUGCUGGCGUGAUCCAGGAGUCUUUGGCCAGGUGCCGCCUGCAAUGGGUGAAGCCGAAGCAGGAGCUGGCUCCUCCUUGAGGGCACAAGGAGCUCAUUCUGAAACAGCAACAGGCUGUGAAGGAGCCUCCCGGAGGCACCCAGAUGGUAGCACCCUCCCUGCCUUUAUCCACUCACGCAUGGGCUUCUGCCCUGGCCAGACCCCCCCAGGCUGAUCGCUCCCGAACGCAGGGGAAUACACACGUCUGCUUUCAUUUGAAAAUAUACGAAAGAAGAGUUCCUAAGCCUCGUACUUGCUGACAACUCCUACAAAUAGAAAUAACCCAACAUUA
Oxyura jamaicensis (ruddy duck) is the source of this 2717-nucleotide long non-coding RNA. RefSeq lists it as uncharacterized. The record is from RefSeq and is a predicted model, not a curated record. The transcript has 2 exons. NCBI's taxonomy places the organism in Eukaryota, Metazoa, Chordata, Aves, Anseriformes, Anatidae.